AUUGAACGCUGGCGGCAUGCUUUACACAUGCAAGUCGAACGGCAGCGCGGGCUUCUUCCUGGCGGCGAGUGUCGAACGGGUGAGUAAUGCAUCGGAACGUGCCCAGUAUUGGGUGAGAGCCCGGCGAAAGCCGUAUUAAUACCGCAUACGACGUGAUGGUGAAAGCGGGGGACCGAAAGGCCCGGCGGUAGGGGAGCGGACGAUGGCGGAGUAGCUAGUUGGUGGGGGAAAGGCUUACCAACGCUAGGAUGGGGAGCUGGUCUGAGAGGGUGACCGGCCACAUGGGGACCGAGAUAAGGCCCAGACUCCUACGGGAGGCAGCAGUGGGGAAUAUUGCACAAUGUGCGGAAGCCUGAUGCAGCAACGCCCCGUGCGGGAUGACGGCCUUCGGGUUGUAAACCGCUUGCGCCUGUGACGAAGCGGGAGUGACGGUAAUGUGUAAAGAAGCACCGGCUAACUACGUG
Molecule: ribosomal RNA, 464 nt
Filed under: uncultured bacterium
Lineage: Bacteria
Description: partial 16S ribosomal RNA
Rfam family: Bacterial small subunit ribosomal RNA
Source: RNAcentral